This 253-nucleotide ribosomal RNA is filed under the name uncultured bacterium. Its description in RNAcentral is "partial 16S ribosomal RNA". It matches the Rfam family "Bacterial small subunit ribosomal RNA", at positions 524 to 776 of the family's 1533-position model. The record is from RNAcentral.
GACAGAGGGGGCAAGCGUUGCUCGGAAUUACUGGGCGUAAAGGGCGCGUAGGCGGGAUGGCAAGUCGGUCGUGAAAUCCUUCGGCUCAACCGAAGAACGUCGAUCGAUACUGCUGUUCUUGAGGGUUGCAGAGGAGACUGGAAUUCCCGGUGUAGCGGUGAAAUGCGUAGAGAUCGGGAGGAACACCAGUGGCGAAGGCGGCUACCUGGACCAGCACUGACACUGAGGCACGAAAGCGUGGGGAGCAAACAGG